GUUUUUUGGCGAGUUGUCAGGAGGAGACGCCAUUAGUUCGCUUGCUUUGCUGGAUUUUCCUAAUUUUUGUGUGCUUUCUGCGUUGGCGGGUGCCUUCAGAUUCGGUUUAUGAGUCUUGAGUUUUUGAUGUAUCUGACCAAGUGAUGCAGGAACUCGAAUUGGGUGCGGUGAUCUAGUUCGAUGUUGAGGCCCAGCACGUUUGGGCGGUGCAGUGUAAGAGGGCAUGUUCAGUUGUUUCUGGCUCUUCGCACUCAAGGCAGUUUGGGUUUUCUUGUGGCAUCAGUCUGGCCAUCUGUGCCUUUAGUCUGUUGUGUCCGGUUCUCAGCCUGAAGAGUAUUUGUGUUAUCUUCCUAGACUUGUGCUGGUGCCAUUUGAGGGAUCCGGUAGUGCUUGUAGAUGGCUGUUUGCUCGGAGAUUGAUAAUGGGUUAUUUGAUCUGUUUGAGGAUUCGUUGGAUGAGCUUUCUUGUGAAGCUAUGGUGUCUGCUCUCUCAUUCCCCGGGAUGCCAACAUGGCUUGGGAUCCAACAGAUCCUGGUUUUGGUGAUGCUAGUGCUUUUACUACUGACUUGGAGUCAGUAUAGACGAUUAGUUCCUGGAUGUCUUGAGGGAGAUUGUACACUAUUUCCAUUGCCCUGUGGAUUCCGUAGGCUUCUGCCGUAAAGAUGGAUGAACCCUCAGUGAGUGUACCAGCUUCUUCGAUGUUUAACGUUGGGAGUACUACUGCAUAGGUCGUAUUUUUUGUUUCUUUAUUCAGUGAUCCAUCCGUGUACGCUUCUGUUCCGUUUUCUGUCUGGGCCUUAUAUUCUUGAAAGAGCGCCCUGGCUUUCGUCUGGUUAGCGAGAGCUUCUUUCUUUCCAAUUUGCAGGUAGUCGAGGGUGAUCGGCAUUUCGGUCCAUGGUGGGGGUUGGUUGCGCCGGGAUUCGUGAGCCCUCGCUUCUUCAUACAGGUUUAGGUCGGCCAAGAUAGUGUGUGCUGUUGCUAGCUUUAGGGCGGGUGUGUUGUGCUCCUUCCAAUUUACUGGCUUUCUUCUGAGGUUGUAGCAUGGUUGGUGCAUCGGGUGGUUGGGUUGCUUGUCGACUCUAAUGAGGUAUCGUCCGGAUAACCAGCUUUUCCUCGUGGUUAUUGGUUGGAGGUCUAGUUCUAGAAGCAUUUCUUUAAUGGGCGUUGAUUGGGGUGCCCCUAAGAUGAUUCUCAUUGUGCCAUUUUGAAUGGCUUCGAUCUUCUUUUGUCUGUUUUGGCUUGAUGUUCCUGCAACCAUGAUUCCGUAGUCUAUUCUGCUCCGUACGAGUGCUUUGUACAUAAUUACUAGUGAGUCAAUGCUCGGCCCGUGUUUUGUGUUAGUUAGUAUCUUGAAGAGGUUUUUGAGUUUCGAUGUUUUUUGGAUCACGGCUUCCGUUUGCCGUGUCCAGCGUAGUCCAUGGUCGAAGUACACUCCCAGGUGCUUUAUUUCCUUCACUUCCGGGAUUUUUGAACCGGUUAUGAAUAGGAGGGGGUUUAUUUGCUUCUUUUUUUGUCUUGUGAAGUUUAUGAGACUGGAUUUGGGGGCGGAGAACUUGAAUCGCCAUUUUUUGGCCCAUGCCGUGACUUCAUCCAGGUAUGGGGUUAGUUUAACUUCCGCGUCUCGUCCAUUUUCAGCGAGUAUAUGGCAUUCUAUGUCGUCGGCGAAUAGCAGGGUUUCUCCUGGUUCCUUGAUAAUGGGCAGGUCAUCUAGCAUGACUGAGAAGAGUAGCGGGCUAAGGGGGGAUCCUUGUGGGACACCGAUUUUGAGCUCUCGGUCCUCUGAGACGUUCUGUCCUAUCUGGACAUUGAAUGUUCUGUUUGUCAGGAAGUUUUUUAACCAUGCUAGUGUUUUUCCAGUUAUUCCUUUUGCGCUUAGUUUGUACAGUAGGCCUUGUAUCCAGGUAGUGUCAAAAGCCUUUGAGAUGUCUAGGAAUACUGCGUAGGUGUUCAUAGGGUUUAUUUUGUUGAAUCCUUUUCUG
Molecule: long non-coding RNA, 1979 nt
Organism: Daphnia pulicaria
Lineage: Eukaryota; Metazoa; Arthropoda; Branchiopoda; Diplostraca; Daphniidae
Exons: 5
Source: RefSeq, a predicted model, not a curated record